UCCAGACUCCUACGGGAGGCAGCAGUGGGGAAUAUUGCACAAUGGGGGAAACCCUGAUGCAGCAACGCCGCGUGAGUGAAGAAGUAUUUCGGUAUGUAAAGCUCUAUCAGCAGGGAAGAAGAAGGACGGUACCUGACUAAGAAGCCCCGGCUAACUACGUGCCAGCAGCCGCGGUAAUACGUAGGGGGCGAGCGUUAUCCGGAUUUACUGGGUGUAAAGGGAGCGUAGACGGUUAAUCAAGUCUGAAGUGAAAGCCCGCGGCUCAACUGCGGAACGGCUUUGGAAACUGAGUAACUGGAGUGCUGGAGGGGCAGGCGGAAUUCCUGGUGUAGCGGCGAAAUGCAUAGAUAUCACGCAGAACUCCGAUUGCGAAGGCAGCGUACCGGCGCCCAACUGACGCUGAAGCACGAAGGCGUGGGUAUCGAACAGGAUUAGAUACCCCGGUAUC
This 448-nucleotide ribosomal RNA is filed under the name uncultured bacterium. Its description in RNAcentral is "bacterial SSU rRNA". It matches the Rfam family "Bacterial small subunit ribosomal RNA", at positions 330 to 795 of the family's 1533-position model. The record is from RNAcentral.